Molecule: ribosomal RNA, 369 nt
Filed under: uncultured Spiroplasma sp.
Lineage: Bacteria; Bacillati; Mycoplasmatota; Mollicutes; Entomoplasmatales; Spiroplasmataceae
Description: bacterial SSU rRNA
Rfam family: Bacterial small subunit ribosomal RNA
Source: RNAcentral
AUACAUAGGUGGCAAGCGUUAUCCGGAUUUAUUGGGCGUAAAGGGUGCGUAGACGGUUUUGCAAGUCUGAGGUUAAAUUUAGGAGCUCAACUCCUAAUCGCCUUGGAAACUACAAGACUAGAGUAUAGGAGAGGUUAGUGGAAUUCCAUGUGUAGCGGUGGAAUGUGUAGAUAUAUGGAGGAACACCAGUGGCGAAGGCGGCUAACUGGCCUAUCACUGACGUUGAGGCACGAAAGCGUGGGGAGCAAAUAGGAUUAGAUACCCUAGUAGUCCACGCUGUAAACGAUGAGUACUAAGUGUUGCCAUAAAGGCAGUGCUGUAGCUAACGCAUUAAGUACUCCGCCUGAGUAGUAUGCUCGCAAGAGUGAA